Long non-coding RNA from Penaeus indicus, 298 nucleotides. RefSeq lists it as uncharacterized. The record is from RefSeq and is a predicted model, not a curated record. Lineage: Eukaryota; Metazoa; Arthropoda; Malacostraca; Decapoda; Penaeidae. The transcript is spliced from 3 exons.
GAUGGCAGGGUGGACUGGUAAUGCUGUUUUGACAUCGCUAGUAGUUGCAGCAUGCCUUGGACUCAUAAGCGCAGCUGUUCCUGGUCCAAUAGAUGCGAGAUACCCGGAUUACAUUGUGUACCCCAGAGUCCCGUGUGAGAAAGAAGGCGUGUUCCCCCAUCCCAGAAACUGUUCGUGGUACUACAGGUGCGUCGACAGGUUCGGCAUCGGAUUUUACUGGACGAGCCACUUCGAGUGCGAGCCGGGGACCGUGUUCUCUGAUGACCUUGACCAGUGCGUGUUCCCCUUUCUGACCGGA